UGUCGUCAGCUCGUGUUGUGAAAUGUUGGGUUAAGUCCCGCAACGAGCGCAACCCUUAUCCUUUGUUGCCAGCGAUUAGGUCGGGAACUCAAAGGAGACUGCCAGUGAUAAACUGGAGGAAGGUGGGGAUGACGUCAAGUCAUCAUGGCCCUUACGACCAGGGCUACACACGUGCUACAAUGGCGCAUACAAAGAGAAGCGACCUCGCGAGAGCAAGCGGACCUCAUAAAGUGCGUCGUAGUCCGGAUUGGAGUCUGCAACUCGACUCCAUGAAGUCGGAAUCGCUAGUAAUCGUGGAUCAGAAUGCCACGGUGAAUACGUUCCCGGGCCUUGUACACACCGCCCGUCACACCAUGGGAGUGGGUUGCAAAAGAAGUAGGUAGCUUAACCUUCGGGAGGGCGCUUACCACUUUGUGAUUCAUGACUGGGGUGAAGUCGUAACAAGGUAACCGUAGGGGAACCUGCGGUUGGAUCACCUCCUUACCUUAAAGAAGC
RNAcentral lists this ribosomal RNA (495 nucleotides) under Salmonella enterica. RNAcentral describes it as "bacterial SSU rRNA". It matches the Rfam family "Bacterial small subunit ribosomal RNA", at positions 1050 to 1533 of the family's 1533-position model. The record is from RNAcentral. RNAcentral also lists the same sequence under 14 other names. Lineage: Bacteria; Pseudomonadati; Pseudomonadota; Gammaproteobacteria; Enterobacterales; Enterobacteriaceae.